UGAAGAAUUCUGGAAUGAAUCUUCGCCUAAAGGGCGCUUACACUAUGCUUGUAGGCGUUGCCCAAGGAUGGGGCCGCGACCGAUCAGGUAGUUGGUGAGGCAACGGCUCACCAAGCCUUUUACCGGUGCGGGCCGUGGGAGCGGGAGCCCGGAGAUGGGCACUGAGACAAGGGCCCAGGCCCUACGGGGCGCAGCAGUCGCGAAAACUUUGCAAUACACGAAAGUGUGACAGGGCUAUCCCGAGUGCCAUCCGCUGAGGAAGGCUUUUACCCAGUUUAGAACGCUGGGGGAAUAAGGAGAGGGCAAGACUGGUGUCAGCCGCCGCGGUAAUACCAGCUCUCCGAGUGGUGUGGAUGUUUAUUGGGCCUAAAGCAUCCGUAGCUGGCUGGACAAGUCCCCUGAUUAAUCCACCGAUUUAAUCGUUGGUGUGCGGGGGAUACUGUUCGGC
RNAcentral lists this ribosomal RNA (448 nucleotides) under uncultured archaeon. RNAcentral describes it as "bacterial SSU rRNA". It matches the Rfam family "Archaeal small subunit ribosomal RNA", at positions 161 to 592 of the family's 1478-position model. The record is from RNAcentral.